UGAGGAAUAUUGCGCAAUGGCCGAAAGGCUGACGCAGCAACGCCGCGUGAGGGAUGAAGUUCUUAGGAAUGUAAACCUCUGUUAGAGGGGACGAAUAGGUGGAUAUCGAACAGGUAUUCAUUUUGACGGUACCCUCAAAGAAAGCCCCGGCUAACUCCGUGCCAGCAGCCGCGGUAACACGGGGGGGGCAAGCGUUGUCCGGAAUUAUUGGGCGUAAAGGGCGCGUAGGUGGAAUAAUAAGUCUGGGGUGCAAAUCCAUAGCUUAACUAUGGGCUUGCCUUGGAUACUGUUAUUCUUGAGUUCGGAAGAGGGAAGUGGAAUUCCUGGUGUAGCGGUGAAAUGCGUAGAUAUCAGGAAGAACACCGGUGGCGAAGGCGGCUUCCUGGUCCGAUACUGACACUAAUGCGCGAAAGUGUGGGGAGCAAACAGGAUUAGAUACCCUGGUAGUCCACACCAUAAACGUUGGGCACUAGGUGUUGGUCUCGUCUGAGAUCAGCGCCGCAG
RNAcentral lists this ribosomal RNA (504 nucleotides) under uncultured bacterium. RNAcentral's name for it is "bacterial SSU rRNA". It matches the Rfam family "Bacterial small subunit ribosomal RNA", at positions 355 to 851 of the family's 1533-position model. The record is from RNAcentral.